This 502-nucleotide ribosomal RNA is filed under the name uncultured bacterium. RNAcentral describes it as "partial 16S ribosomal RNA". It matches the Rfam family "Bacterial small subunit ribosomal RNA", at positions 28 to 507 of the family's 1533-position model. The record is from RNAcentral.
GACGAACGCUGGCGGCGUGCUUAACACAUGCAAGUCGAGCGGUGAAGGGGCCUGCUUUUGUGGGCCCUGGAUGAGUGGCGAACGGGUGAGUAACACGUGAGUAACCUGCCCCCUUCUUCUGGAUAACCGCAUGAAAGUGUGGCUAAUACGGGAUAUUCUGGGUCUGUCGCAUGAUGGGUCUGGGAAAGAUUGCGCCUUUGGGUGUUUUUGGUGGGGGAUGGGCUCGCGGCCUAUCCGCUUGUUGGUGGGGUGAUGGCCUACCAAGGCGGUGACGGGUAGCCGGCCUGGGAGGGUGGACGGUCACACUGGGACUGAGACACGGCCCAGACUCCUACGGGAGGCAGCAGUGGGGAAUAUUGCACAAUGGGCGCAAGCCUGAUGCAGCGACGCCGCGUGAGGGAUGGAGGCCUUCGGGUUGUAAACCUCUUUCGCCAGUGAAGCAGGCCUGCUCCUUGUGGGUGGGUUGACGGUAGCUGGAGAAGAAGCGCCGGCUAACUACGUG